This is a long non-coding RNA of Catharus ustulatus (Swainson's thrush), 3015 nucleotides long. RefSeq lists it as uncharacterized. Lineage: Eukaryota; Metazoa; Chordata; Aves; Passeriformes; Turdidae. The transcript is spliced from 2 exons. The record is from RefSeq and is a predicted model, not a curated record.
CCCUCGCCGCUCUCGCCCUCGCAUCGCUCGCAUCCCUCGCCCGGGCGAGCGGCGGGCCCGUCGGCCGAGCAGUCAAACCCGGCGCUGCUGAGGGGGAACCGCGCCCAGGCUGAGGAAAUUAACUCAAAGGCAGUUUGAGAGCUGGUUUCUUUGGUGGGUCAGUCACAUUCCUCCUGUUUGUGCAGGUACUGAAUCCUCUCAACAUUACUAACCCUGCACAGGAUAUCUAGUUGUUGUCCUACUCAGCUUCCUGACUCAGCUUUUGGCAUAACGGAGGAAGUGAGACUGUGUCAGACUUGGUUUGAAGUCGUUUAAGCUGUUGUCAAACUACUUUCAAAACUGCUAAUUUUCAGCCAGUUCCCUGGUCCAGCUCCCACUGAGGAACCUGCAACACUAGUUUAAAGCUCAUAGUCACUGUAACUGAAGUAUGACUGUAAGGGAUGUGAGCAGUUUUGCCUCUCAUCUCUCAAAAUGCUCUUUAUAUCUCAAUAUAUAUGCCUCCCCAAUUUUUUUUAACCUAUAGACAAAGCAAUUAGCUUCCUUUCAAUCCUUCCUGGUGUGGCACAGUUUUAAAUCUCUUAAGAUGCUUAUGUCUUCUCCUUGUGUUGUCUCAAAAUUAUUCACAUCUUUUUUUUUUAACUGUAGCACCCAAGACUGGACUUCACUAAAAUUAAGGCCUCAGCAAUGGCAGCAUCUGCUGUCCUGCCUGUCACAGCCCCCAUUCCUGUUUACACACACCAAUACAAGUGCUCUUGAGUCACUGAUCUAUUGACAACCUUGCUGACCUGUUUUACCCUCGCAUCCAUUUCUGCUGACCUCCCAAGCUAGGUAUUUCUCCCUCAAGUAGACAGUAAUGCUGCUUGAGAAAUCAUUUCCUGCAACAGCCCUAAUGCUAUGCCUUCAUUUUUAUUUUAUAAUCAAGCAGUCAAGACAUCUUUUAAAAUGAAAUUCCACGUGAUGUUAAGUCAGAGAACUGUAGAAUUUGUCAUCCUCUGUAAAUCGAUUGCACUUCUCGGAAGAAUUGUAUUUUAAAAAGCAAAACUAAGAUUGAACUGUGCCAUAGUUACAGAAGGGUUGUGCAACUCUAAAUUUACAAGAGUGAUUUGUACAUAUUUGUAGAUAUUUAAAACUUUAAAUUUGCCUAGACCAAACCCGCUAAAAUAAUCUAAAUGCAAACAAGGGUGGGUAACAAGGAAUGUGGGUCAGAGUUAUACCGAUAUAAGGUAAAAUAUGGCAAAAACAGUAAUGUGUAUUAAUGAGGAACAGAACCUGUAUUUGUAUAUGUUUUGCUGUUCCAUGUGCUCAGUUCUGUUAGCUCAGAAUUCCUCAGUUCUGUUCACUGUCCUGUGUGCUGCUUUUGACGUGGACAGUGCAAUGAGCAGCCAUAAACUUACUGGCAGCGCACUCUGCAGAAGGGAGGUUCUAGCACAGCCUGAUGGCUACACUGGCACUUUAGGUGCAGUUGAGCAAGUCAUUUUACAUGAUUGCACUUCAGUUUUCGUAGUAUGAGAUGAAUCCAUCUUUGUAAAACACCAAAAAUCUAAAACUGAAGCCUGUGAUGUGGGUAUCCAUUAAAAUAACUGCCAUAGAAGGGAUAAAAAUCUACAGUGCUGUCCAAGUCCGCUGUCCAAGUCCACUGUCCAGUGCACACAGAUGUUUUUUACUCUUCAUUCUGACAGAAUAUCUACAGAAUUAGUUUUUCAGCACAGCUGAACAAGCUGGCAAAUAAUGCAUUCAGCUAAUUCAUUUCUUAGAUGGUCAUCAUGUGGUCUCUCUGGUCCAUUUUGGCUGUGUAAAGCAUUUUUAUGAUGUGUUUUAUAUCAGGUGAUGUUUGGACAGUAACAAUUCAAGAAAAAAUACAGGCUUUAGCAGGGAAUAAACAGAAAUCUUACCUUUUCUUUAUCAUGUGGCCAUCAGAUUUUACACAGUAGGCUUCCCAUUUAUCUCCUGGUCGCUUUCUUUUUUCUACUUUAAUUUGUGAAGUCCUCAUCUGUGAUGAAAUUUCAGAGCACAACAUAAGGGAUGAAUGUAAAACUGCUGAUGUUUCAAAGGGGUACUGUUACUUGUCCUUCUCCUAUUCUCUGUUUACCUGUAUUUUGUAAAAAUUGCUACUUUGAAAAUGAUUAUGUGAAUCCCAAGCAGAGAUGGAGAAGAACUGAGUCCUACAGGUUUUUUACAUCUGUUUUACAGUAGAUGUGUAUCUGUACAUGUUUACAUAUGUGUUUGUAUAAAUAUAUGUAAUACCAAUUUGCAAGAAUAAAAAUUACAUUUCCUCUGAUUAAAGUUCACAUGACCAACAUCUCCCAUACAAGUGUGUGGGCAUAUAUAUGAAAAUAAGUGCAGAUUCAGUACAUGCAGCACUGGAGAUCUACAAGCAAUAAUAAAUCCUUUUGAUCCGUGUUUUUCCAUUGCCAUCAAAGGUACAAGACAAACAUAUUCUUUUUAAAACUUAAACUGCCCCACUCUCCUACAAAAGGGCUUUUUAAAAAUAGCUGGAAAGGAAUUUUCAGGGCCAGCUCCUCACCAGUUCAGCUCUGCUUUUUAGCACCCAGACAGUUGGAACAGCAGUCAAGAGCCCUCCAGAACAGAGAUUUUUGUACCAGUGACUCAGAUUUGUGCCACUUCACGUUUUUUUGUGUGACUGGAGUUCCACUAUAGACCAUCUGUUAUGGCCACCCAGGCAGGAAUACAGGAGCUUUCAUCCACAUUGGCAUUCUGCUCUUUGCAGAGCAGCUUAUCAAACAGGAUUGCUGCAGAGAUACCACUGUGGAAGUCCUGCUGUAUUGAGUGAUAAACAUAAAUGGAUCUAGCUGGAGCUUGUUUCACCUGGCACAUGUGACAUCUAUUUGUCUGCAGGAAGGGUCAUGUAAUGCUCCAUAAAGGAUCUCCUAUAUGUCAAAAGAAGCAUUAUCAGGGUACCAUGGGAUUAGUCCAGAUAUUCCCUGUUCCAAUACUAGGAAGCAAGAAAAGACUUGAUCUCCCCAGAGAACUAAUUAUUCAGACCAUCAGGAAAAA